GGGUUGUGAGGUUAAGCGACUAAGCGUACACGGUGGAUGCCCUGGCAGUCAGAGGCGAUGAAGGGCGUGCUAAUCUGCGAUAAGCGCCGGUAAGGUGAUAUGAACCGUUAUAACCGGCGAUACCCGAAUGGGGAAACCCAGUGUGUUUCGACACACUAUCAUUAACUGAAUCCAUAGGUUAAUGAGGCGAACCGGGGGAACUGAAACAUCUAAGUACCCCGAGGAAAAGAAAUCAACCGAGAUUCCCCCAGUAGCGGCGAGCGAACGGGGAGGAGCCCAGAGUCUGAAUCAGCAUGUGUGUUAGUGGAAGCGUCUGGAAAGGCGCGCGAUACAGGGUGACAGCCCCGUACACAAAAGCGCAUGUGCUGUGAGCUCGAUGAGUAGGGCGGGACACGUGGUAUCCUGUCUGAAUAUGGGGGGACCAUCCUCCAAGGCUAAAUACUCCUGACUGACCGAUAGUGAACCAGUACCGUGAGGGAAAGGCGAAAAGAACCCCGGCGAGGGGAGUGAAAAAGAACCUGAAACCGUGUACGUACAAGCAGUGGGAGCCCCACCACUAAGCCAGUGGUGAACUCCACAUACGCAUCCUUUGCUGAGGAUACGGUUAACGGAGCGCAAGCGACGUUCAACCGCAAAAGAAGCAGAGGGGGCUUAGUGGUGGGGUGACUGCGUACCUUUUGUAUAAUGGGUCAGCGACUUAUAUUCUGUAGCAAGGUUAACCG
RNAcentral lists this ribosomal RNA (722 nucleotides) under Salmonella enterica. Its description in RNAcentral is "partial 23S ribosomal RNA". It matches the Rfam family "Bacterial large subunit ribosomal RNA", at positions 1 to 652 of the family's 2925-position model. The record is from RNAcentral. Lineage: Bacteria; Pseudomonadati; Pseudomonadota; Gammaproteobacteria; Enterobacterales; Enterobacteriaceae.